This 420-nucleotide ribosomal RNA is filed under the name uncultured bacterium. RNAcentral's name for it is "bacterial SSU rRNA". It matches the Rfam family "Bacterial small subunit ribosomal RNA", at positions 356 to 773 of the family's 1533-position model. The record is from RNAcentral.
AAGGAAUAUUGGUCAAUGGGCGCAAGCCUGAACCAGCCAUGCCGCGUGAAGGAUGACAGCCCUAUGGGUUGUAAACUUCUUUUAUACAGGAAAAAACCUUCCGACGUGUCGGGAGCUGAUGGUACUGUAAGAAUAAGGAUCGGCUAACUCCGUGCCAGCAGCCGCGGUAAUACGGAGGAUCCAAGCGUUAUCCGGAUUUAUUGGGUUUAAAGGGUGCGUAGGCGGAUUGGUAAGUCAGUGGUGAAAUCCUACAGCUUAACUGUAGAACUGCCAUUGAUACUAUCAGUCUUGAGUACAAUUGAAGUGGGCGGAAUGUGUCAUGUAGCGGUGAAAUGCAUAGAGAUGACACAGAACACCGAUAGCGAAGGCAGCUCACUAAACUGUAACUGACGCUGAUGCACGAAAGCGUGGGGAUCAAAC